GUUGCAUCAGGAGCGAGAGCAAUUAAAUCGUUGUUCCUUCAGAAUUUCAGAGCCGACUCCAAUCGUUAAAUUCUUUGCAAUGAGCUUUGUUGGUGCUCGUCGUAAAAAGCAAAAGGUCUAAAGCUCGCUCCUGGGUGAGAACUUAAUUGAAGAUCAAGGGAAAGCGGGUGAGCGAAUUGUUCAUUGCAAGAGUGCUCGACAACAGAGAAAGGUGCUUGUCCACAAAGACGUGUGACGCGACUUUCCAUAGAUCUCGACUGUAGAGAUCAAGAUUUUGGUAAGAGCUUCUUCACCUUGAAUUUUCUCCUAAAAUCUUGUAAAAAGCCGAUGUAUUUGCUGUUGAGAUGCUUUGAGGUACCUGAAUGUUAAGCUGUCAAGAACAGAGCCAAAAAGCUGGAAGUAGUUUAGCACUAGGAAUGUACCUUUAUGUUUUCUUGUCUGUCUAGAUUUUGAUGUUCGGAACCAAGUAAUUAGAAGUUCUACUGCUAGAACAAAACUAUCAAGGCUCAGAGGACGUUCUUCAGGCUGUGUCAUUUAAGAAACGGGAAAAAAUCAUACUCAUCCAAACUCAUUCUCGAGAUCUUGAAUCUCCCAGCGGCCUUCUCACUGCCAAGACGAAAUAAUAAGUAUCCUACAACAGAUGUGCACAUACAUUGAUCUCCUUCACUCAAUGAGAAGGUAUGUUUAUUCUUUUCCUUUGGAUGUUUCUUUAAUCUUAGUUCACUUCUGUGUGUUUUAGGUGGUCAAGAUGCUUGUUUACAAGCUCCUCAAGAAAGCACUGCCCAAGUUGACUUGCCCAGGUGGAGUAUGCCUCCCCUUCUAAAGCCGAGUUGUGGAAUAUAUUAUCUUUCACACUAAAUUUUUUUUCUGGAACUGA
This 877-nucleotide long non-coding RNA is filed under the name Selaginella moellendorffii. RNAcentral's name for it is "long non-coding RNA (SMOE_LNC000823)". The record is from RNAcentral. Lineage: Eukaryota; Viridiplantae; Streptophyta; Lycopodiopsida; Selaginellales; Selaginellaceae.